AUGUAGGCUGAUUUCUGUUUUUGUUUAUUUGUAGAGGUAAUACGUCCAGAGUGUACUGGCAGAGGUGUAUGGCCAGCAUUGCACCGGUUAAGCAUGUGUGGGAGUUUGAUAUGGAGCGCCAAGGUGCUGAAUGUUACUCAAUAAAGUAUUCAUGUGGCA
Long non-coding RNA from Macrobrachium nipponense, 159 nucleotides. RefSeq lists it as uncharacterized. The record is from RefSeq and is a predicted model, not a curated record. NCBI's taxonomy places the organism in Eukaryota, Metazoa, Arthropoda, Malacostraca, Decapoda, Palaemonidae. The transcript is spliced from 2 exons.